UCUUGAAAAAUCGAGAGUCGGCGGCAUGUUCAAAGCAGAGGAAGUUACAGUACAUGAUUGAUUUGGAACAGAGAAUAAACUUUCUCUAGAACGAAAAUGCUUC
RNAcentral lists this small RNA (103 nucleotides) under Arabidopsis thaliana (thale cress). RNAcentral describes it as "ATSL096340". The record is from RNAcentral. Lineage: Eukaryota; Viridiplantae; Streptophyta; Magnoliopsida; Brassicales; Brassicaceae.